This 267-nucleotide ribosomal RNA is filed under the name Triticum aestivum (bread wheat). Its description in RNAcentral is "partial small subunit ribosomal RNA". Lineage: Eukaryota; Viridiplantae; Streptophyta; Magnoliopsida; Poales; Poaceae. The record is from RNAcentral.
AUGGUGCAAACAAAUAAGCAUGUUACGUUUCCUUUGGUCUAUCAUCUUUUAAAGCUAGUAUUGAUAUUGCCAUUUGCCACAGCAUCAGUGGAGAGAUGCUUUUCAGCUAUGAAUGUUGUCAAGAAAAAAUUGCGCUACAAAAUGGGUGAUCAGUUCAUGAGCGAUUGCCUAAUUUGCUAUGUGGAGAAAGAUAUAUUUUCCACCGUUACCAAUGAUGCAGUACUUAAUAUUUUUAAGGCGAUGAAAGAUCGAAAGGGGACACUCUAA